UUGCAGUUGAUACUGGCUGUCUUGAGUACAGUAGAGGUGGGCGGAAUUCGUGGUGUAGCGGUGAAAUGCUUAGAUAUCACGAAGAACUCCGAUUGCGAAGGCAGCUCACUGGACUGCAACUGACACUGAUGCUCGAAAGUGUGGGUAUCAAACAGGAUUAGAUACCCUGGUAGUCCACACAGUAAACGAUGAAUACUCGCUGUUUGCGAUAUACAGUAAGCGGCCAAGCGAAAGCAUUAAGUAUUCCACCUGGGGAGUACGCCGGCAACGGUGAAACUCAAAGGAAUUGACGGGGGCCCGCACAAGCGGAGGAACAUGUGGUUUAAUUCGAUGAUACGCGAGGAACCUUACCCGGGCUUAAAUUGCAUUUGAAUAAUCUGGAAACAGGUUAGUCGUAAGACAAAUGUGAAGGUGCUGCAUGGUUGUCGUCAGCUCGUGCCGUGAGGUGUCGGCUUAAGUGCCAUAACGAGCGCAACCCUUAUCUUUAGUUACUAACAGGUCAUGCUGAGGACUCUAGAGAGACUGCCGUCGUAAGAUGUGAGGAAGGUGGGGAUGACGUCAAAUCAGCACGGCCCUUACGUCCGGGGCUACACACGUGUUACAAUGGGGGGUACAGAAGGCAGCUACCUGGUGACAGGAUGCUAAUCCCAAAAGCCUCUCUCAGUUCGGAUCGAAGUCUGCAACCCGACUUCGUGAAGCUGGAUUCGCUAGUAAUCGCGCAUCAGCCAUGGCGCGGUGAAUACGUUCCCGGGCCUUGUACACACCGCCCGUCAAGCCAUGAAAGCCGGGGGUACCUAAAGUACGUAACCGCAAGGAGCGUCCUAGG
This 826-nucleotide ribosomal RNA is filed under the name uncultured organism. RNAcentral describes it as "SSU rRNA". It matches the Rfam family "Bacterial small subunit ribosomal RNA", at positions 621 to 1461 of the family's 1533-position model. The record is from RNAcentral.